This is a long non-coding RNA of Rhipicephalus sanguineus (brown dog tick), 238 nucleotides long. RefSeq lists it as uncharacterized. The record is from RefSeq and is a predicted model, not a curated record. Lineage: Eukaryota; Metazoa; Arthropoda; Arachnida; Ixodida; Ixodidae. The transcript is spliced from 3 exons.
AUUUGGUCUUCGACAACAUACCUUGCCAAUUCAACAUGAACGGUCUGGCUGGAGUCAACGCCCUGGUGUGGGUGGCCGUCGCAUUAGCUGUGCUGGUUAAUGAAGCUGCUGCUUCUCUAGGAGGCGGUGUUGGAGGAGGCAGAGAAGAUACCGCAAGUGAAUGAAUCCAAACUGCAGACAGGCUUAUGCCUAAAUCCAGACGUUCAUGGGUCCGCUUUCGCUUUGAAUAAAGUGAUAA